Lolium perenne is the source of this 551-nucleotide long non-coding RNA. RefSeq lists it as uncharacterized. NCBI's taxonomy places the organism in Eukaryota, Viridiplantae, Streptophyta, Magnoliopsida, Poales, Poaceae. The record is from RefSeq and is a predicted model, not a curated record.
GAUCCGGGGCAGGGCCGGCCAAAUCGUGGCGGGCGGCGGAUUUCGACAAUACAGGGACAUCAACGGCAAGCACUGCUGGUUUUAAGACUCCAAGCUACUAUUUUAGUAAAAUAUUUGAUGUGCUAAAACAAUAAUGCGGAGAGAAGUCGUUUCUCCAAUGAAAAAUAAUAGCUCAAGAAGGUGAUUUCAGAUCUUCCUUGUGAGGUACUUCAAAAAUGGCUGAGGUGCGUUGAAUUUUAUGGAAUGAAUUCCUAGGCACCAACUGAAGGAUUUGUGCAAUGGUGUAACAAGUUUGGUGUUGAAAAUAGCGUUUAUUUCUGUGAUGUUUCAUUCGUGAAGGAUGCCAAUGAUGCACAAUGAGGAGAUGGUUGGGCCUUGUGGUGUGCUUACGACAGCAGCUCUCCUGUCAGUGCGGUGUUCUCGGCUGUAGUAGGGCGACCUUGCCAGCAAACUCGCCAUCUCUUUCCCUAGGUUCAAACUCCCGAUGAGGUUCUGCAGCGCUGAUAUCAACCUCACCAGAGGCAUUCGCCGCCUCUCUUCCCCUGCAGUUU